This 623-nucleotide long non-coding RNA is filed under the name Nicotiana benthamiana. RNAcentral's name for it is "long non-coding RNA (NBEN_LNC014213)". Lineage: Eukaryota; Viridiplantae; Streptophyta; Magnoliopsida; Solanales; Solanaceae. The record is from RNAcentral.
UGUCCAAAAAAUCAUUCAUAAAAAAUCAUUUACAAAGAAUCUAGACGUUUUUUGGUUUUAAUUUUUCAAAUUUGAGGGCAGAAGGUUCAAGAAAUAUGCAGGUCUGUAAAAGGUGAGAAUUCUCCUUGUGAAAAAGAAAAAAAAGAUAAAUCCGGACAAUGGGGGGAAAUUGAAGAAAUUUUUGGAGUUUUGUUUUGGUUUCCUUCUUCCUUUUCUUUUUAAAAAUCAAAAAAAUGAAAAGUGUUCUUGUUACUAGUUUCGUUCAACUCUGAAUCUGGGCUCUCAAAAAUGGAAGUGAUCUUACUCGUUGCUGCGAACUCGCCGGAGUUGAGGCUGCUCUGUUUCUUGGUUGGGUUUCAUUGUUCGCGUUUUCAAUUCGGGCUCCGUUGUUGUUCUUCUCGCUGAAAAUUUGGAGCAAAACUUGUAGUCCUCUAUUAUUAGUGGAAGAAUUUCGCAUUCUCAGGUUCACUUCUUGAUUCUUACUUAUUUUAUUUGUUGUGAUUAAUGUAUGAUGAAGCCAUGGGGAAUCUAUAUCAUAAGUGUUACUUAUGUUUUGGUUGUUUGAGAAUCUGUUUGUAGUUCGAAAUGCUAAAGAGUGAAUAAUUGGGAAAAUAAAAUGUUCA